UUUCAUGAAAAAAUAUCCUUGUGCAUCUUGUGUGUAUUUUGUGAAAUGCUAUAGUUGAAUAUUUUAGUUUUUUUCAAAAUAUGCUCAUAAUGUGCAAGGGUGAUUUGUUAUCGGU
Non-coding RNA from Tribolium castaneum (red flour beetle), 115 nucleotides. The record is from RefSeq and is marked provisional. Lineage: Eukaryota; Metazoa; Arthropoda; Insecta; Coleoptera; Tenebrionidae.